GACGAACGCUGGCGGCGUGCUUAACACAUGCAAGUCGAGCGGUAAGGCCCUUUCGGGGUACGACGAGCGGCGAACGGGUGAGUAACACGUGGGUGACCUGCCCUCAGCUCUGGGAUAAGCCUGGGAAACUGGGUCUAAUACCGGAUAUGACUCCAUGACGCAUGUUGUGGGGUGGAAAGCCUUGUGCGGCUGAGGAUGGGCCCGCGGCCUAUCAGCUUGUUGGUGGGGUGAUGGCCUACCAAGGCGACGACGGGUAGCCGGCCUGAGAGGGCGACCGGCCACACUGGGACUGAGACACGGCCCAGACUCCUACGGGAGGCAGCAGUGGGGAAUCUUGCGCAAUGGGCGAAAGCCUGACGCAGCGACGCCGCGUGAGGGAUGACGGCCU
This 388-nucleotide ribosomal RNA is filed under the name uncultured bacterium. RNAcentral describes it as "bacterial SSU rRNA". It matches the Rfam family "Bacterial small subunit ribosomal RNA", at positions 28 to 417 of the family's 1533-position model. The record is from RNAcentral.